This 206-nucleotide unclassified non-coding RNA is filed under the name soil metagenome. RNAcentral's name for it is "partial contains 5.8S ribosomal RNA, internal transcribed spacer 2, and large subunit ribosomal RNA". The record is from RNAcentral.
AACAUCGCGCACCUGCGGGAACCUGCGGAAGGAUCAUUACCGAGUUUACAACUCCCAAACCCCUGUGAACAUACCAAUUGUUGCCUCGGCGGAUCAGCCCGCUCCCGGUAAAACGGGACGGCCCGCCAGAGGACCCCUAAACUCUGUUUCUAUAUGUAACUUCUGAGUAAAACCAUAAAUAAAUCAAAACUUUCAGCAAUGGAUCU